GUCCGCGUAGUUCAGGGGUUAGAACAUCAGACUUUCAAUCUGGAGACGUGGGUUCGAGUCCCACCGUGGAUACCA
This 75-nucleotide transfer RNA is filed under the name Phycisphaerae bacterium. RNAcentral describes it as "tRNA-Glu". It matches the Rfam family "tRNA". From Rfam's summary of the family: Transfer RNA (tRNA) molecules are approximately 80 nucleotides in length. Their secondary structure includes four short double-helical elements and three loops (D, anti-codon, and T loops). Lineage: Bacteria; Pseudomonadati; Planctomycetota; Phycisphaerae. The record is from RNAcentral.